Molecule: long non-coding RNA, 341 nt
Organism: Talpa occidentalis (Iberian mole)
Lineage: Eukaryota; Metazoa; Chordata; Mammalia; Eulipotyphla; Talpidae
Exons: 3
Source: RefSeq, a predicted model, not a curated record
UUUCCGUACCUGUACAUUGGGGAUGAGCGACUGGACUUUCGAUGCUCUGUUUAUUCCAGAUCAUUCUGGCUCGUGACUCUUCUGGCCCCUGGUCGCAAAGAAAAGCCUGCUUCUAAACAUAUGCUGUCCAAUAUGGUAGAAACUAACUUCUGAGUACUGGAAAUGUGACUAAUUGGAAUUGGGAUGUGCAGACCCUCGCCGGUGGCCGGGGAUUGAACUGACCCUGCAGAGGCCGUGAGCAGCCUCGCAACCCAGCGCUCAACUGCUGCACCACCAGGGGAGGCCCAGCUCCCAUCUUUUUCAAUACUGCCAGUUUCUCAAGUUCCACCUCUUCCAGGAAG